UGAUUGUCGUUCUCUUCCAUAUUGGUUUCAGAAGUGUACGGAGCUCACGGGUUAUAAUCCGUAGCAAUCGAGGAAUUCUAGAUUCAUCUAGUUUCCUCCAACCGUAAUAAUGAGAGCAAAGUGGCGUAAGAAGCGUAUGCGGAGGCUAAAGCGUAAAAGGAGGAAGAUGCGUGCAAGGUCUAAGUAAACUGGCAUCUUCAAUUCUUCGAUCGACCAAUUUUCCAGUUCAGACUAUUCAGAACACCUGAAGCCUCAGCAUUUUAUACAUCUUGGAUA
Long non-coding RNA from Fopius arisanus, 276 nucleotides. RefSeq lists it as uncharacterized. NCBI's taxonomy places the organism in Eukaryota, Metazoa, Arthropoda, Insecta, Hymenoptera, Braconidae. The transcript has 3 exons. The record is from RefSeq and is a predicted model, not a curated record.